RNAcentral lists this ribosomal RNA (301 nucleotides) under uncultured bacterium. RNAcentral's name for it is "partial 16S ribosomal RNA". It matches the Rfam family "Bacterial small subunit ribosomal RNA", at positions 509 to 807 of the family's 1533-position model. The record is from RNAcentral.
CAGCAGCCGCGGGAACACAGAGGGUGCGAGCGUUAAUCGGAUUUACUGGGCGUAAAGCGUGCGUAGGCGGCUUUUUAAGUCGGAUGUGAAAUCCCUGAGCUUAACUUAGGAAUUGCAUUCGAUACUGGGAAGCUAGAGUAUGGGAGAGGAUGGUAGAAUUCCAGGUGUAGCGGUGAAAUGCGUAGAGAUCUGGAGGAAUACCGAUGGCGAAGGCAGCCAUCUGGCCUAAUACUGACGCUGAGGUACGAAAGCAUGGGGAGCAAACAGGAUUAGAGACCCCUGUAGUCCCUGUCUCUUAUAC